RNAcentral lists this unclassified non-coding RNA (401 nucleotides) under soil metagenome. RNAcentral describes it as "partial contains 5.8S ribosomal RNA, internal transcribed spacer 2, and large subunit ribosomal RNA". The stretch from base 1 to 121 matches the Rfam family "5.8S ribosomal RNA", at positions 35 to 154 of the family's 154-position model. The record is from RNAcentral.
GAUGAAGAGCGUAGCGAAAUGCGAUAAGUAAUGUGAAUUGCAGAAUUCAGUGAAUCAUCGAAUCUUUGAACGCACCUUGCGCCCUUUGGCCAUUCCGAAGGGCAUGCCUGUUUGAGUAUCAUGAACACCUCAACUCUCAUGGCUUGCCAUGAUGAGCUUGGACUUUGGGGGUCUUGCUGGCCUGUGGUCGGCUCCUCUCAAAUGAAUCAGCUUGCCAGUGUUUGGUGGCAUCACAAGUGUGAUAACUAUCUGCGCUCGUGGUUUCCAUCAGAUAACCUCCAGUGAUGGAGGUUCGCUGGAGCUCAUAAAUGUCUCUCCUAAGCGAGGACAGCUCUUUUAAUGUUUGAUCUCAAAUCAGGUAGGACUACCCGCUGAACUUAAGCAUAUCAAUAAGCGGAGGA